ACCAACAGUUAUCUGCACAGCAAUACUGGGCGUUUCUCUUCCAGUUGAGCUUUGUAGCUGACAGUACAGCUGUCUAUGAGUGAUCUUAUCCCCUCUGGGAGAAGGAGAGGAGAUGCAUUUCAGAUGCAGAAAAAAGCGUGUGACAAACUCCAACAUCCUUUCGUUAGAAAAGAACAAAGAAUAAAAGUGAAUCUCCUCGACCUGCAUAACUUCUCGUGGCCAGCGUGUUGACUUCAGAUCAGCCUCAUCUGAGACUACGCCGUUUUACACGUACACAAAUGCCCCGAGCUAUCG
Long non-coding RNA from Panthera uncia (snow leopard), 294 nucleotides. RefSeq lists it as uncharacterized. The record is from RefSeq and is a predicted model, not a curated record. The transcript is spliced from 3 exons. NCBI's taxonomy places the organism in Eukaryota, Metazoa, Chordata, Mammalia, Carnivora, Felidae.